Molecule: long non-coding RNA, 331 nt
Organism: Hippocampus comes (tiger tail seahorse)
Lineage: Eukaryota; Metazoa; Chordata; Actinopteri; Syngnathiformes; Syngnathidae
Exons: 3
Source: RefSeq, a predicted model, not a curated record
CAUUAAUUGUUGAUGCUUUAUAGGUGGAAUUCUUUCCCAUUCUUCCAUGAUGUGCAGCUUCAGCUGUUCAACAGUCCGGAGUCUCGGUUGUCAAAUUUUAUGCUUCACAAUGCGCCACACAUUUUCAAUGGGAGACAGGUAUGGACUGCAGGCAAGCCAGUCGAGUACCCGCACUAAUGUGUAAGUUACCCAUGCCACUGGCACUAACACAGCCCCAUACCACCGCAGAUUUUGGCUUUUGAACUUGGCGUCCAUAACAGUCUGGAUGGUUCUUUUCCUCUUUGGCCCGGAGGACACAACGUCCACAAUGUCUAAAAACAAUUUUAAAUGU